GCGUCCCUCCGCCCGCCCUCGGAAGACCGAGACAGCGGAGAGGUUGCGGGUGAGCUCCGCUGAGCCCAGGAGCCGAGGAGGGAGCGCAGCGCAGCCCGAGCCCGAGCGGCCCCGCGUCCCGAGCGCAUCGGAGCGGCCGAGCCGCCCGGCGCAGCGCCUGUCCCGGGCAGCGCAGCCCCGGCCGCAGGAUCUCACCCAGGGUGGCAGAAGGAGGCCUUCUGGAGCUGACCCACCCCCGACGACCAUCAGGGUGAGGCAACUCCAAGGUCCUACUCUCUUUCUGUGCCUGUUACCCACCCCGUCCUCCUAGGGUGCCCUUGAGCCGCAAAACUGCUGUCCACGUGGACUGGGGGUGACAUCGCACGUCCAUCUGCCAGGACCCCUGCGUCCAAAUUCCGAGACAUGGCGACCAACGGCAGCAAGGUGGCCGACGGGCAGAUCUCCACCGAGGAGCCUUCCUGAUCCCCUAUUUCCUGACACUCAU
RNAcentral lists this small RNA (484 nucleotides) under Pan troglodytes (chimpanzee). RNAcentral's name for it is "processed transcript". The record is from RNAcentral. Lineage: Eukaryota; Metazoa; Chordata; Mammalia; Primates; Hominidae.